UGGUUUGUGUUCCAAAUGAUUUAUCGCCGUAGGAUGGGACUGCGGCCUAUCAGUUUGUUGGUGAGGUAAUGGCCCACCAAGACUAUUACAGGUACGGGCUCUGAGAGGAGUAGCCCGGAGAUGGGUACUGAGACACGGACCCAGGCCCUAUGGGGCGCAGCAGGCGAGAAAACUUUGCAAUGUGCGAAAGCACGACAAGGUUAAUCCGAGUGGUUUGUGCUAAACGAACCUUUUGACAGUCCUAGAAACACUGUUGAAUAAGGGGUGGGCAAGUUCUGGUGUCAGCCGCCGCGGUAAAACCAGCACCUCAAGUGGUCAGGAUGAUUAUUGGGCCUAAAGCAUCCGUAGCCGGCUCUGUAAGUUUUCGGUUAAAUCUGUACGCUCAACGUACAGGCUGCCGGGAAUACUGCAAAGCUAGGGAGUGGGAGAGGUAGACGGUACUCGGUAGGAAGGGGUAAAAUCCUUUGAUCUAUUGAUGACCACCUGUGGCGAAGGCGGUCUACCAGAACACGUCCGACGGUGAGGGAUGAAAGCUGGGGGAGCAAACCGGAUUAGAUACCC
RNAcentral lists this ribosomal RNA (561 nucleotides) under uncultured archaeon. RNAcentral's name for it is "bacterial SSU rRNA". It matches the Rfam family "Archaeal small subunit ribosomal RNA", at positions 176 to 738 of the family's 1478-position model. The record is from RNAcentral.